RNAcentral lists this ribosomal RNA (468 nucleotides) under uncultured bacterium. RNAcentral's name for it is "partial 16S ribosomal RNA". It matches the Rfam family "Bacterial small subunit ribosomal RNA", at positions 28 to 507 of the family's 1533-position model. The record is from RNAcentral.
GACGAACGCUGGCGGCGUGCUUAACACAUGCAAGUCGAACGGAAAGGCCCUGCUUUUGUGGGGUGCUCGAGUGGCGAACGGGUGAGUAACACGUGAGUAACCUGCCCUUGACUUUGGGAUAACUUCAGGAAACUGGGGCUAAUACCGGAUAGGAGCUCCUGCUGCAUGGUGGGGGUUGGAAAGUUUCGGCGGUUGGGGAUGGACUCGCGGCUUAUCAGCUUGUUGGUGGGGUAGUGGCUUACCAAGGCUUUGACGGGUAGCCGGCAUGAGAGGGUGACCGGCCACAUUGGGACUGAGAUACGGCCCAGACUCCUACGGGAGGCAGCAGUGGGGAAUAUUGCACAAUGGGAGGAAGCCUGAUGCAGCAACGCCGCGUGCGGGAUGACGGCCUUCGGGUUGUAAACCGCUUUCGCCUGUGACGAAGCGUGAGUGACGGUAAUGGGUAAAGAAGCACCGGCUAACUACGUG